UACGUAGGGGGCAAGCGUUGUCCGGAUUUAUUGGGCGUAAAGGGCGCGUAGGCGGUGAGAUGCGUCCGUUGUGAAAUCGCCCGGCUCAACUGGGCGGGGUCAGCGGAUACGGUCUCACUUGAGCAAGCUAGGGGGCAAUGGAAUUCCCGGUGUAGUGGUGGAAUGCGUAGAUAUCGGGAGGAACACCAGUGGCGAAGGCGGUUGCCUGGGGCUUUGCUGACGCUGAUGCGCGAAAGCGUGGGGAGCGAUCCGG
Molecule: ribosomal RNA, 253 nt
Filed under: uncultured bacterium
Lineage: Bacteria
Description: partial 16S ribosomal RNA
Rfam family: Bacterial small subunit ribosomal RNA
Source: RNAcentral